CGUCACAUUCAUUUCACCCUGCAGCCCAACACUGGUUACACACUGAAGCUAAGCAGAGCUGCGCCUGGUCAGUACCUGAAUGGGAGACCACAUGGGAAAACUAGGUUGCUGAUGG
Molecule: ribosomal RNA, 115 nt
Organism: Danio rerio (zebrafish)
Lineage: Eukaryota; Metazoa; Chordata; Actinopteri; Cypriniformes; Danionidae
Source: Ensembl